GAUGAACGCUGGCGGCGUGCCUAAUACAUGCAAGUCGAGCGAACAGAUGAGGAGCUUGCUCCUCUGACGUUAGCGGCGGACGGGUGAGUAACACGUGUAUAACCUACCUAUAAUACUGGGAUAACUUCGGGAAACCGGAGCUAAUACCGGAUAAUAUAUUGAACCGCAUGGUUCAAUAGUGAAAGACGGUUUUGCUGUCACUUAUAGAUGGAUCCGCGCCGCAUUAGCUAGUUGGUAAGGUAACGGCUUACCAAGGCAACGAUGCGUAGCCGACCUGAGAGGGUGAUCGGCCACACUGGAACUGAGACACGGUCCAGACUCCUACGGGAGGCAGCAGUAGGGAAUCUUCCGCAAUGGGCGAAAGCCUGACGGAGCAACGCCGCGUGAGUGAUGAAGGUCUUCGGAUCGUAAAACUCUGUUAUUAGGGAAGAACAAAUGUGUAAGUAACUAUGCACGUCUUGACGGUACCUAAUCAGAAAGCCACGGCUAACUACGUG
RNAcentral lists this ribosomal RNA (497 nucleotides) under uncultured bacterium. RNAcentral describes it as "partial 16S ribosomal RNA". It matches the Rfam family "Bacterial small subunit ribosomal RNA", at positions 28 to 507 of the family's 1533-position model. The record is from RNAcentral.